GGUGUCGCGGAAUGUGGUGUUUAGGAGGACCGUGCGCGUCUGUCCGGCAUCGUCCAAGUCUCCAUGAAUGGGGCCAGCAACCCAGAGAGGGUGUCAGGCCCGUAGGACUGAGCCGCGACGGCGUAUUGGGUCUCUCCUUAGAGUCGGGUUGCUUGAGAGUGCAGCCCUAAGUGGGAGGUAAACUCCUUCUAAGGCUAAAUACGGCCACGAGACCGAUAGCGAACAAGUACCGCGAGGGAAAGUUGAAAAGAACUUUGAAGAGAGAGUUCAAUAGUGCGUGAAACCGUUCAGGGGGUUAAACGGGUGGGCCCUCGAAGGUCGAACGCUCCCUACUCGCGUCUCCGCUCGUCGGUCCGUGCCGCUUUUCCGAUCUCGCUACGGGACGGAGCGGUGCGGUAACUGGUGCGAGCGGGGGCGUUUAGUUAGGGGGCCAGUAGGACUCCGCAACCGUCUGGAGCAGUCGUCAGAAGGGCCCUGGUAGAAAGCCUCCUCGCGGGGUGGACUCUGGGGUUCCGGGCGAUCUCUCCGGCCGUGAACCGGCAUUCCACUCGGCUGGCGUCCGUGACGAGCUUCCCCUUCACGGGGGGAGUUGUCGGUUGCGGGCGUUACCGGGGGACGCUAGCGGAGAGUAGAGUCGGGUCCCACCCGACCCGUCUUGAAACACGGACCAAGGAGUCUAACAUGUGCGCGAGUCGUCGG
This 699-nucleotide ribosomal RNA is filed under the name Ozestheria cf. packardi Q MS-2015. RNAcentral's name for it is "eukaryotic LSU rRNA". It matches the Rfam family "Eukaryotic large subunit ribosomal RNA", at positions 132 to 697 of the family's 3401-position model. RNAcentral also lists the same sequence under 1 other name. The record is from RNAcentral. Lineage: Eukaryota; Metazoa; Arthropoda; Branchiopoda; Diplostraca; Cyzicidae.